Molecule: long non-coding RNA, 148 nt
Organism: Perognathus longimembris pacificus (Pacific pocket mouse)
Lineage: Eukaryota; Metazoa; Chordata; Mammalia; Rodentia; Heteromyidae
Exons: 2
Source: RefSeq, a predicted model, not a curated record
CUCCUGAGUAUCUAGGAUUAUAGGUGUGAGCCACUAACACCAAGUGCUCAGCUUAAACCUUCCAUUCUUAUGGAGCUCUCCUCUCAACAGAGAAAACAGAAAUCCUUCACUUUUAACUUUCACAGCUUAAAAAAAAAGUCACUUUUGC